UACGAGGGGGGCAAAUGUUGUUCGGAAUCACUGGGCGUAAAGGGAGCGUAGGCGGGUGUUUAAGUUAGGUGUUUAAUCCCGGGGCCCAACCCCGGUCGUGCACUUAAAACUGGACAUCUUGAAUAGGGGAGAGGUCAGUGGAAUUGGAGGUGUAGCGGUGGAAUGCGUAGAGAUCUCCAAGAACACCAGUUGCGAAGGCGGCUGACUGGACCCAUAUUGACGCUGAGGCUCGAAAGCAUGGGGAGCAAACAGG
This 253-nucleotide ribosomal RNA is filed under the name uncultured bacterium. RNAcentral describes it as "partial 16S ribosomal RNA". It matches the Rfam family "Bacterial small subunit ribosomal RNA", at positions 524 to 776 of the family's 1533-position model. The record is from RNAcentral.